AUAAAAACACAAGGGUGUCGAGUAGCUUACUUGAUCUUGUACACAAAUCCACUAAAGAUUAAUGCCCAAGAUCUCCCAAGUUUCUCCCAGUAUAUGUUGUGUUCAUUGAUCUGCUAAUCAUGAUUGUGCAAUGGGUUCUUCUGUGUUAUUGAAUGUCAUAAUUGGCAAGUGUGGUCAAGCGACUCUUGUGUCAGCGCCAAAGUUUCACAACUGGAACUCUCAUGUAUACUAUGGGCAAGCUUCUUAUAUCUCAAGAGAAAACCAUCAUGAUAUCUGCUCCAAGAAACAUAAGUUGUGGGCAAAAUGUACUAAAAGGUAAUGUAAAUAUAUUUAAUUAAUUUCAUUUGUACAUUCCUCUAUGUUUUUCUUGAAAAAAUUAAGUCAUCAUGUAGGUUACAGACCCGUGGUCUUAGAUGAUGACAUGAUGUAUUUUUGAAUUUGGAAAUGCAGGACUCCUUUUGCAAGUAAUCCAGUCCUUUGUUUUAUUAUUGUAGUAAGCAUAAUUGUUACCUUUUCGUAUUUAUACGAUUGUCUUCUAUUAAAUCUGAUAAUCUAAACGAAAAGUUAUAAAACAUACUCUUAUUUCCAAUUUGGAACAUUAUCGAUUUAAAAUUUAUGCAAUGUUAAAGGGAUACUGUUAAAGGGGUGCAUCAGGGUAACUUUAGCUCCAGCUCCGCCCCUGUCUAGAUACAGAUGACCAUACAAGUUUUCUUGGCUAAGCUAGCUUGCCAUACAAGUUUCCUUCUCCGCUAAGCAAGCUUACCCUACAAGCAAAUUUCACUACUAAAAAACUUGUCAUGCAAGUUUGCUUCACUACUAAGAAACUUGCGAUGCAAGUUCCUUCCGCUCCAGGAUAUCUCAUAGAUAAGCUUUGAGAGAUGAAGUAACUUGGUGACUAAGGAGUGUAGCAAACUUAUGAAGCAAGAUUUCUUAUGGGCUAAGGAAUGGAUGGCUAUAUAUGGUCUCCUUUUGGGAGAGUUUGAUAAAUAAAUAAAAACACAAGGGUGUCGAGUAGCUCACUUGAUCUUGUACACAAAUCCACUAAAGAUUAAUGACCAAGAGCUUCGGAGUUUCUCCCGUACAUGUUGUUUUCGUUGGUCUGCUAAUCAUGAUUGUGCAAUGAGUUCUUCUGUGUUAUUGAAUGUCUUGAUUGGCAAGUGUGAUCAAGCGACUAUGGUGCCAGCCCCAAAGUUUCACAACUGGAACGAGGUGUGAACCUCGGAUAAUGUAUAACUCAGACGAUAUAUUGUAUUUUGGCUCAUCUAUUUUUUGUCUGCUUUUUUGUUGCGGAAAUUGAGAGCAUUUAUUAAAUAAAGAUGGUCAUGGAGUCAUCACCCAUGAGGCUAGUGACCAAGAAGGAAGGAGCUAAGUUAGGUCAACCCCCACUCGGCUGAAGCGAGCAAGAAUGCUCCGCACACAAUUGGACUGGGAGAUUGGCAGCUCUGUUAACAUGUUGAAUUACAAACGAAUUAGCUGCAAGAGGGGCCUGCGACAAUACGACCGAUCCUUCCCUACCUCUUCCUUCUCGUCACAGACAUUCUCCAUCGGUUCAUUGCGCGGGAUCCACUACCCCGACAGCCCCUAGCUGACGACGCCUCAUGUCCCCUGAGUCAAUACACGGAUGACAUGCUCAUCAUCACGAGAGCUAGCGUCGAGGCAACGACUUGGAUGAAGGCGAUCAUGGACAGGUUCUCCAACGCCAUCGUGCCCAUGAUCAAUUUCAGCAAGUACGGUGCCAUGGUCCAGGGGUGCCACUGGACACCGUAACUCAACCCAUCAGGCCGACGUAGGCCCCCCAUGCUAAUAUUGGGCCCCAAACUCUAGCCUGGCUUAUGGGCUCUCCAAGAAGAAGGAUAUCGGCAUUUGUGUCAUACAAGUCAAGGAGACCGGACCGACAUUGGACUCCUCCAAUCACCAUAGAUCGCUUAGGACUCUAUAGCCCUAAUCAUGUUGCUGAUAGCCGAGCAAAGGCUACUUUCCAUUCCAGAACAUCAUCUUUUUGCAAUUCAAAUCCCCGAACUUUAUUUCAUCACAACUUGUAAAUAGCGUUGCUAUUAUACAGUGAAUAAAGUCCUAUUCCUAUAAACGAAAAUAGCUAAUUGACACCAUUUACACAUGUUGUACAAAAUUAUUUAUUUAUUAUUGGGAAAGACCACGGAUUUUUUUAACAGAUGAAAGACCAUGAAUUGACUAUUAUUUAUUUGCGUCAUUGGAAAAUUUUGCUGUGCCGAAGGUUUUGCAAGCGUUGGAGAAAAAGAAAGAACCGAACAUAAUACAGGAAGAGUUUUCAAAAUUUCUAUUGCCGUUUAGUUAAACCUUUUUUCACUCACUGGAUGUGAAUGCUCGCGCUGAGUUACCCAUGAGAGCCAUCAUCACUAGUUCACUACGUACAAAAACAAGGUGAAAGUUCCCAUAUACAGUUAGCUGCUGAAACAAACAUAGGUAAACUAUAUAUCCUAUCCAAAGUAACACUGUUUCACAUCGGUAAAUACACCGGCUCAUUUGCACAUUUUUGUUGAAACUAUCAUGAGGGAAAGGCUCCCCACCUGAAUAAAUUUUUAUUUUUUGUUUUUGUUUUUACAAACUAGACAAGGCGAGAAGUAAAGAAGUCUCGCCACAGACCGGUGUGAAUUUUGUCUUCCACCUUCCUAAGGCGGUGAGACCACAAAGUGAGGUCCACGAUGAUACCCCUAAUUACAUCAAGGGAAGCAACAAGAACGUUUCUAAAAGUUUUGGCAUUUCGAGCAUCCCAAAUUUUCUAGAUGAUAAGCAGGAGAAUAAAAGGUCACAGAGACAUAGGGAGACCCGGAUGUCCAUGAGAGGCCCAGAGGUCCGCAAUGGGGGAGGAGCAUGGUUGGAGGCCAAUGGCAUCCCAAACUGCACGAGCCGCUGGACAGUGAAAGAAGAGGUGGGCCCGGUCUUCGGGCGCUGCCGCACAUCGAGGACAGGCAGCGGAAAAUUUGCACAUUUUGAAACAGCGGCAUCACAUCUACGAGUGAUUAAACAGUUUGUGGUUUCGUAAACCUGAUCGCAGGCACCCACCAGGAAGCAAGAACCUAAACUUGUUUGCGUUCUUGACCAAAUAGGAAGGCAGAUGCAUGGCAGACGCUGAGCUGGGUAUGGCAGUCCCUGGGCUUGGUAUGCCGCGAAGGAAAUCAGAUAUGAAGCAAGAUUCGCAAGAACACAAUGAUUUGAUUCUAAUUUCUAAAAUAAAUACCUGAUAAUUGGCAAAGAUGACAGUAAUAUACUUCUAAUCCUAGACAAACAUGUUAGAAGUGGCAGCAUCAUCACCUAUAGAUAUUAAAAUCACUUUUACUACUGGGAGCUACUAUUUGUAUUACAAAACAUCCCACUAACUUCAGCGCCAAAUGUGGUUUUAUGUAUGUAUCAUGACUGUUUAGUACUUUUACAACGCUUAACGUUCUACCAGUCUGGAUCAAAAUACUAAUGAAAAAAACAGCUUGAAUAAUUUGAAUAGCAGAGUGCAAAACUUGAUACGGGAUUUUGCAAAAGUUCAGUUCACACAUUGCUUCAGAGAAGCAAACACUGCAGCAGAUGGCUUAGCUAAACAUUGAUAUAAUUCUAGAUCCCCUAGCUUUUGGGACGUUUCUAUCCCUUAUUUUAUUUCCCACCUUUGAAAAUGACCUAUCUAUUAUAUGAGAAAUAAAGUCGUUUUGCUGUCAAAAAAUAUUUCAUUUUUUAUGUAUGUGUAUAUCAGUAUAUAUGCAUACAUAUACGCUGAGGGAUCCUUCAAAAUUACUGGUGGACAUUGUAAGCUUUCUUUGCCUUGUUUCAAAAAAAAAAUUGGGAAUGAUAAAGUCACAUAGACGGGAAUAACAAAGUCACAUAGUCUACAAGGCAAACCGAAUUGUGCAGAGUACCAAGACAAGGCUCCGACGUUGAGCAUAAAUAGAUAAGUAAGGCAUAAUAAAUGAACCUGGCGAACGAUUAGGGCAUCUGAUUUGCAAGUACCUACUCAUCUUUGUUUCCAGGAAACUAAUCAAGUAGGUAGGAUCCAACGAUGGCAGUGACUAGCUAUAUGGUGGCCUUGCCAAGGUUGAACUUUGUUUCCCCGGUGAGAAUCGCCUUGCACUUCAUGAUGGUGACCGUGGGUUCCUACCGAGUCGCGAUGUGGCGUCUGCGACGAACCUUGGUGGCAGAGUCCUUCACCCUCUUGGCGCGCCCGCAGUGCUUGCGCAGCUCGUACUCGCCCAUGUAGGAAACUCGCCCAUCCAGCAAGGCGUGUAUGGGAAAGAUGUGUCUGUCUUUCCAUAUGGUGGUUCAUCGUAAACUGCUCCCAUCCAUGGCCUUGAACUGCCCAAGUCCUGAAAUUUUGAGAUGUUUCAGUCAUAGGCCAGUCCUCUGGUUGUUAUUGCAGAUGAAAUCAAGAAGACAACCUCCUUGUAAGGAUGAAAUCCAAGGAGGAAAUAAUCUCCAUCGGCGUCUUCAGCCUCUUCAACGACGUUUUCAGUGUCAAUAACGUUAUCCUCACCAGAGUUCCAAUCAUAUUUCUCUUCCACGGUCGCUUUGUGAUUCUCGGGAUCUUCAGAGCACCACUUACGGUAGUUAACAUCUUGUAAGAUCCAUUGUCUGCCCACUUGUUGAG
This is a long non-coding RNA of Triticum aestivum (bread wheat), 4606 nucleotides long. RefSeq lists it as uncharacterized. The transcript is spliced from 3 exons. The record is from RefSeq and is a predicted model, not a curated record. Lineage: Eukaryota; Viridiplantae; Streptophyta; Magnoliopsida; Poales; Poaceae.